Molecule: non-coding RNA, 1090 nt
Organism: Leptonychotes weddellii (Weddell seal)
Lineage: Eukaryota; Metazoa; Chordata; Mammalia; Carnivora; Phocidae
Source: RefSeq, a predicted model, not a curated record
UUGAACGAGACGAAGACGGAACCGAAGCCGGGCACAGGCUGUGGACGCGGUCCUGCCAAGAGCUGAAGAUAGCAGUGAACGUAUAUUCAACAUCAGUCACCAGUGAUAACCUAAGUCGACAUGACAUGCUGUUCCCUGGCUCCAUUGCCUUGAAGAAAGUGAAAUUCCAGGCUAAGCUAAAACAUGAGUACAUCCAGAACUUCAAAAUACUACAAGCAGGCUUUAAGAGAAUGGGUGUUGACAAAAUAAUUCCUGUGGACAAAUUAGUAAAAGGAAAGAUUCAGGACAAUUUUAAAUUUGUUCAGUGGUUUAAGAAGUUUUUUGAUGCAAACUAUGAUGGAAAAGACUGUGACCCCGUAGCUGCCAGACAAGGUCAAGAAACUGCAGUGGCUCCCUCCCUUGUUGCUCCAGCUCUGAACAAACUGAAGAAACCUCUCAGCUCUAGCAGUGCAGCUCCACAGAGGCCCAUUGCAACACACAGAACUACUGCAACCCCUAAGGCUGGCCCGGGUGUGGUGCGAAAGAAUCCUGGUGUGGGCAACAGGGAUGACGAAGCAGCUGAAUUGAUGCAGCAGGUCAACGCAUUGAAACUUACCGUCGAAGACUUGGAGAAAGAAAGAGAUUUCUACUUUGGAAAGCUAAGGAACAUUAAAUUGAUUUGCCAGGAGAAUGAGGGGGAAAACGACCCGGUAUUGCAGAGGAUCGUGGACAUUCUGUAUGCCACAGAUGAAGGCUUUGUGAUACCUGAUGAAGGGGGCCCACAGGAGGAACAAGAAGAGUAUUAACGGCCUGGACCAGCAGAGCAACAUCCGAAUUCUUCACUCCAAAUCAUGUGCUUAACUGUAAAAUAACCCCUUUUAUUAUUCUUAGAGGACUCACUGGUUUCUUUUCAUGAGCAAACAAUACCUCUUCUUAAAGUGCACUUUGCAGAAAUUUCACCCCUUUUCCAAUGAGUUUGAGUUAGGAGCUUUUACCCUGUAGCAGAGCAGUAUUAACAUCUAGUUGGGUCACCUAGGGAACAAAGAGGCUGACCAUGGGGCUCACCGUGUGGACGCUGGUAACACUGAUUGCUGGAGAAGGUGUUUUUAUG